This is a long non-coding RNA of Brassica rapa (field mustard), 1267 nucleotides long. RefSeq lists it as uncharacterized. NCBI's taxonomy places the organism in Eukaryota, Viridiplantae, Streptophyta, Magnoliopsida, Brassicales, Brassicaceae. The record is from RefSeq and is a predicted model, not a curated record.
UGUGAGAGAGGCUAAGGGAAGCCGCAUGAAGUAGGGCUUCACGAAUCACAAACGCUUCACCAUGCACGGAGAUGAGACAUGAUCUUAGGCGGAGGAGGCGCGAGUGAGCUCUGUAUUUGCUUGAUCACUGAAGAUCCAGGCCAGACCAGCCGAUCUGGAUUCCGACUUCCAAGCAGCAUCAGAAUUACAGAAGACGGUCUCUGGUAAAAUAGAUACGGUCCGAUUCGAUGAGGUCAGUUUAGGGGCAGCAGGAGGGCGACAAGGUUGUGCUGAUUUCCAUUCCUUCAUUGCACUGAUGGUUUGUGCAAAAAGUUCAUGGGGCGUGAUCGUUCUAGAUUCAAAGAUGUCCUUGUUGCGCGAGACCCAAAGAUACCAGCAGAUCCAGGGAAAAGCAUUGCCCAUGAUACCAUAGGGAGGUAGAGCUUUCCAGAGAUAGGAUGCUUGAAGGGAACUUGCAAAGGUGGUGUCUUGGAUUACAAUAAACAUUGGGGACCAAGGUCCUAAAUCCCACACCUCUUUCGCAUAGUUGCAGUGAAAGAGGCGAUGAUCCAUCGUUUCAGCAGCCCCGCAGCGAGCACAGAGCGUUUGGAAAAUCACUCCUCUCUUAUGUAGAUUGUCACUUGUUGUAAUGGCAUUGUGAAAAACCUUCCAUAAAAAGUAUUUCAAUUUUGGUAGUAGGAGAGGGUUCUACAUAUUCUUUUUUCCAGUUCCAAUCUUCCAAGACCAGGCGCGAGGAUUGAAACAGAUGUGUGGAGGUCAGCACAUAGUACCCUGAUUUCGCAGUGUAGGAACCUGAGCUGUGAAGGGGCCAGACAUAAACAUCUUGGGCAUUGAGGAGGCUCGGUCGAAGAGACAAAAUGUGUGAAGAGAGCUCUGGCAUAAGGAAAACUGGGCCGUGCUACUUGAGAUUAGUCUCCGGUUGGAUCCAGGAGUCGCGCCAGAGGCUAGUUGAUUCUCCGUUACCAAUGGCUUUCCCCAUGUGUUGGAUCAAUAGGUCGCGGCCAUGGAGGAUGCCUCUCCAACCAUGUGAGAUGCCAGAGUUGGCAGAGACCUUGUGGCAAUAUUUUCCGAUGAUAAUUCGGGAAAAGAGGCAGUUGGGGGCAGUUAGUAGUCUCCAGGCAAAUGAAGAAGAAUGAAAAUGAAAACUUAUUCUUCGUAAAUGGUAAAAAAUUUAAAGAAUAUUAAGGAACAUAGCGUUUCUCCUCAUUCCCUUGUUCACCAAACACAUCCUAUAAUAAAGUUAAAUAUAGAACAUUACUUUAUUCUA